GUGGAGUUAGGCGUAAGGUUCCCUCGAGGUGGGGGGCUGUUCACCCAAGAGUCUACGCCACCUUAGGGGAGCUUCCGGCCGUUCUCGUCGCCAGCACACUCCUGCUCGACCUUUACUCUCGUCCCAGCCAUUGCGGCCCGGAGUAGCAGCGAGUACCUCGACGCCGCUACCAACCACACUCUCUCUCGCCUCCUGACCUUCCCGCUACCCGAGUACCGGUACCUGGCGCCCCACUGUGACCUCUUCGCCGCGACCUUGCUCGUCUUCUCGACCCUUAUGAUCGUCGCGGGAACUAAGGUCGUCUGCCAAGUCGCUGCUGCCGGAGUGGGCGUGUCUGUCUUAGUCCUCACAGCUGUCUCGUGCACCGCCCUCCUUGCCGCCGACACACGCAACUGGACUCAUCCUCCGGGUUUUUUC
Molecule: non-coding RNA, 417 nt
Organism: Penaeus vannamei (Pacific white shrimp)
Lineage: Eukaryota; Metazoa; Arthropoda; Malacostraca; Decapoda; Penaeidae
Source: RefSeq, a predicted model, not a curated record